Molecule: ribosomal RNA, 442 nt
Filed under: uncultured bacterium
Lineage: Bacteria
Description: partial 16S ribosomal RNA
Rfam family: Bacterial small subunit ribosomal RNA
Source: RNAcentral
CCUACGGGUGGCAGCAGUGGGGAAUAUUGGGCAAUGGGCGCAAGCCUGACCCAGCAACGCCGCGUGAAGGAAGAAGGCUUUCGGGUUGUAAACUUCUUUUAAGAGGGAAGAGCAGAAGACGGUACCUCUUGAAUAAGCCACGGCUAACUACGUGCCAGCAGCCGCGGUAAUACGUAGGUGGCAAGCGUUGUCCGGAUUUACUGGGUUUAAAGGGCGUGCAGCCGGGAAGACAAGUCAGAUGUGAAAUCCCGGGGCUCAACCGCGGAACUGCAUUUGAAACUGUUUUUCUUGAGUACGGGAGAGGUCAUCGGAAUUCCUUGUGUAGCGGUGAAAUGCGUAGAUAUAAGGAAGAACACCAGUGGCGAAGGCGGAUGACUGGACGGCAACUGACGGUGAGGCGCGAAAGCGUGGGGAGCAAACAGGAUUAGAUACCCUUGUAGUC